This is a long non-coding RNA of Bradysia coprophila, 374 nucleotides long. The record is from RefSeq and is a predicted model, not a curated record. NCBI's taxonomy places the organism in Eukaryota, Metazoa, Arthropoda, Insecta, Diptera, Sciaridae.
UCUACAGAUACUAUUACGGUGAAUGUUCAUCGGAGAUAUCGACGCUGAUCCCGCCUAUCCACAAUUCGACUCUUGUCACUAGGCAAUCAGCACGAGCACAUCCCCAUGUUGUCGCUUCUGAAUUUUGCCGCACGGCAAAGUUCAAGGGAACUUUCUUCUCAGUUGCGAUUCGUUUGUGGAAUAGUCUUCCGGUUCAUGUCUUCCCCCCCCGUAUGUAAUCCUCAACUUUUCAAGAAUAAUAUUAAUACCCAUUACCGAGCAUUUCCCCCAAUUAUUUAGGCUAGACCGUGUUGAUGUGAACCAUCAACAUCAAAGGGAUACAUCCCUUGUGUUUGUGCUUGCAUGUAAAAAAAAAAAAAUUAAUUGGUCUUGCA